GACGAACGCUGGCGGCGUGCUUAACACAUGCAAGUCGAACGGACCUUAUGGAAUAGUUUACUAGGAAAUAAGGUUAGUGGCGGACGGGUGAGUAACACGUGGAUAAUCUGCCUGGCACACAGGGAUAACACUGUGAAAACGGUGCUAAUACCGGAUACGCUCUACUGAUUGCAUAACUGGUAGAGGAAAGGGGGAACCCGGUGCGAGAUGAGUCCGCGGCUGAUUAGCUAGUUGGUGGGGUAAGAGCCUACCAAGGCGACGAUCAGUAGCCGGCCUGAGAGGGUGAACGGCCACACUGGAACUGAGACACGGUCCAGACUCCUACGGGAGGCAGCAGUGGGGAAUCUUCCGCAAUGGGCGAAAGCCUGACGGAGCAACGCCGCGUGGGUGACGAAGGCCUUCGGGUUGUAAAGCCCUGUCUUAUGGGAAGAAAAAAUAGACGGUACCAUAGGAGGAAGCCACGGCUAACUAACGUG
RNAcentral lists this ribosomal RNA (476 nucleotides) under uncultured bacterium. Its description in RNAcentral is "bacterial SSU rRNA". It matches the Rfam family "Bacterial small subunit ribosomal RNA", at positions 28 to 507 of the family's 1533-position model. The record is from RNAcentral.